Molecule: long non-coding RNA, 1398 nt
Organism: Pongo pygmaeus (Bornean orangutan)
Lineage: Eukaryota; Metazoa; Chordata; Mammalia; Primates; Hominidae
Exons: 2
Source: RefSeq, a predicted model, not a curated record
UCGAAAUACCAGGAAUUCCCAGGGGGAUCACAGCACUCGAGCCAGGAGCGCCCGCGCGGGGCCCUCGGAGCUCCUGCGCCCGCCCAGGCCUUUGGGACCGGCAGGGGGCGCUGUGCCUCCACCGCGCCGCGUUGGGCGCAGGCAGCCGAGGAGGGGCGGAGUCGCCGGGCCACCCCGCCCUGCCCAGCCGGGCCCUGCCCGCAGGCCGAGGCGCCCCCGAGCCCGGAUCGCGCAGCCCAACAGUCCGCAAACAAAGCUCAGGUGGUUUCCUGGCCUGCCGGUCGGGCUGAAACCAACAAGGCAGGGGGAAACCCAUUAUUUCUGAGGUCUCGCCUCUGCCUCCACGCCCACCUUCCCCUGCGAUUCUGCGAAGCCUGGGCGCGCCUCGGCGGCUCAUUUUGCAUUUUUAACGGGUUUAAAGCCUCUUGGCAGACCUCGCUUUCCCCAGUAGGUUAGAGCAGGCGAAGCGACACGAUCUCUUCUCUAGGAAAAGAGGCGUGGUGGGUGCCCAGUGUUUGCGAAGCAGCCACCCAUGGCCGACCUCUCGGGUCCACCCAACCGUGGCUAUCUGCCUGGGUCCGGGUAGCGCCGGGCGGCCCCCCGCGGGUGGUCGAGGCGCCACGCACAAGAACAAUCCCAACCGAAAGGCACGAAUCGCCUCUUUUUGACCAUCUGGAAAGGUUCUUAAAAGACCCACCGAGUGUUCCCACCCCACAGAUACCAUUUAAAAAUCAAAUGGGUGUGUAAUUCCACAGACAGCUACGAAUAAAGAUUUAGGACAGUGGGAAAGCCUCAUCAAAAGACUAGAAUCCAGCCACACUCCUCUCCACGAAUGAGCCUUGGGAGCCACCAGGAGGGAAGGAGAGAAAGACACCAAAUAAACGACCACAACCACAGGUAGAAUUUACCUGCCCGUUCGCUUUGGAAGGCGACGAGGCCACAGCCGCCUCCCCGGGCCUCUCCGCGGCGGCUUCUCCCUUCGCUGCGGUCUUGGAGAACUGGGCACCCAUGCUGGCUUCUUCAACAAAGAAACUCAACAGAUCCAGGAGGGGAAACAAAGAGCCUCGGGUUGGUGUAACGACGGGGCGAGCAGCAGCAGCAGCGGCGGCGGCAACAGCGGCAGCGGCACACACACCGGAGGGAGGGGGGUGGGGGUGGUGGAGAAGACAGAACAGAACCGAUUAAAUACACUCCGGAUAAAAAAAUUUUAGUCGAAGAGAUCAAAAAGCAGCAGCACAGGAGGGAGGGAAAAAGGGUGGAAAAGUCGAGCACAAAAAAAGGAGCCCAAGUGUAGUUCGAAAAAAAAAGAAGUAAUAAAAAAAAUCCCAGAUUUGUAGCCGCACUGUAGACAAGAGGAAAAUGGAGAAAUCUCCCUGGUUGCUAAUAAGAUGCGGGGUC